CCAGGGAAUGGUGAAUCGUAGCUUGAUAGGAAGGGAGGUGUCCAUUGUCCUGCUGAGCACCAGAAUCUUCUGGGCAUUCCAAGUUCUACUAGUGCAUGCUUCCCAGAUUGAAGCCCUUGCCCCACCAGCUCAAAGUGCAUCACAUAUAAUAACUCAAUUAUCCUUCUAACACCUUGUGAGGAAUGCCAUACUUACUUAUCUUUUGGUGCUGGACCGUUUUAAUACAUACUGUCGUCAUAUUUUUUAAGUGUAUGUCUGAAGAUAGAAAUGUCCUUUCAAAAAAGAGCAAAGAUGGCUGGGAAUCUCAGGAUUCCAACAAAAGCCUGUAGGUGUGGCGCCAGUUGUGUGUCAUUUGUUUUCACCGGCAGUGCUUUGAGGCAUUGAGUUAAAAUGAAAUGUCCAGUGGAAGACUGUGAAGGAGGAAGAAUGGAGAUAGUUUGAUUUUUAUCAAUAAAAUUAAAACUUAUUGACAGCAAUAAAGUUGUACCAGAUUGAGCAUUAAUGCAAGUUGUUGUGAUUGUAGCUUUACUUUGCAGUAAGCAAUUGUGGUGUCUUUGAACAUAUCCAGAUAUAUAGGUAACAUUCCUUAAGCACACUUACCUGAGAGUAAGUUCCAGGUUUGAGUAAACAUGCAUAGGAUUACACAGCACAAGAAAG
Molecule: long non-coding RNA, 657 nt
Organism: Lacerta agilis (Sand lizard)
Lineage: Eukaryota; Metazoa; Chordata; Lepidosauria; Squamata; Lacertidae
Exons: 3
Source: RefSeq, a predicted model, not a curated record